Molecule: non-coding RNA, 73 nt
Organism: Potamilus streckersoni
Lineage: Eukaryota; Metazoa; Mollusca; Bivalvia; Unionida; Unionidae
Source: the annotation of a GenBank genome assembly
GAAUUGUGUUCAUAGUGGUUAGAACAUCCGCCUCGUAUGCGGAAGAUCAUGGGUUUGAUUACCGGUUGAGUCA